RNAcentral lists this ribosomal RNA (315 nucleotides) under Ehrlichia canis. RNAcentral's name for it is "bacterial SSU rRNA". It matches the Rfam family "Bacterial small subunit ribosomal RNA", at positions 125 to 455 of the family's 1533-position model. Lineage: Bacteria; Pseudomonadati; Pseudomonadota; Alphaproteobacteria; Rickettsiales; Anaplasmataceae. The record is from RNAcentral.
UCUACCUAGUAGUACGGAAUAGCCAUUAGAAAUGGUGGGUAAUACUGUAUAAUCCCCGAGGGGGAAAGAUUUAUCGCUAUUAGAUGAGCCUACGUUAGAUUAGCUAGUUGGUGAGGUAAUGGCUUACCAAGGCCUAUGAUCUAUAGCUGGUCUGAGAGGACGAUCAGCCACACUGGAACUGAGAUACGGUCCAAACUCCUACGGGAGGCAGCAGUGGGGAAUAUUGGACAAUGGGCGAAAGCCUGAUCCAGCUAUGCCGCGUGAGUGAAGAAGGCCUUCGGGUUGUAAAACUCUUUCAAUAGGGAAGAUAAUGAC